AAAAAAGUGACCAGUGUGACAGUGCGGAUAUGGUGAGGGGUACAAGAGCACAGUGUACAUCAGGGUGUGAGGUGCAGUGGCAUGUCCAGGUUCAGAAGCCUUAUGGCCUGGGGGUACAAGAGCACAGUGUACAUCAGGGUGUGAGGUGCAGUGGCAUGUCCAGGUUCAGAAGCCUUAUGGCCUGGGGGUACAAGAGCACAGUGUACAUCAGGGUGUGAGGUGCAGUGGCAUGUCCAGGUUCAGAAGCCUUAUGGCCUGGGGGUACAAG
Long non-coding RNA from Brienomyrus brachyistius, 268 nucleotides. RefSeq lists it as uncharacterized. NCBI's taxonomy places the organism in Eukaryota, Metazoa, Chordata, Actinopteri, Osteoglossiformes, Mormyridae. The transcript has 3 exons. The record is from RefSeq and is a predicted model, not a curated record.